RNAcentral lists this ribosomal RNA (253 nucleotides) under uncultured bacterium. Its description in RNAcentral is "partial 16S ribosomal RNA". It matches the Rfam family "Bacterial small subunit ribosomal RNA", at positions 524 to 776 of the family's 1533-position model. The record is from RNAcentral.
CACGUAGGGCGCGAGCGUUGUCCGGAAUUAUUGGGCGUAAAGAGCUCGUAGGCGGCCUGUUGCGUCCGCUGUGAAAGCCCGGGGCUUAACCCCGGGUCGGCAGUGGAUACGGGCAGGCUAGAGGUAGGUAGGGGAGAAUGGAAUUCCCGGUGUAGCGGUGAAAUGCGCAGAUAUCGGGAGGAACACCGGUGGCGAAGGCGGUUCUCUGGGCCGAUACUGACGCUGAGGAGCGAAAGCGUGGGGAGCGAACAGG